GACCCAAACAUUGUUUAAAACAAUAUCUAAAUCCUAUAUGGAGGGAGUAUGCUUGAACACUAAUUAUAUUUAUUAUCCAUCCGUUCCAAGUUAUAAGCCAUUUUGCUUUCCGGUUUGCUUUCUGAUCCAUGUAAACAUAUAAGGCGUGUAAUAAACAUAAAAUCCUAACAAGACUCAAACACAAACAACACAGGACGUCACGGUAGAGUAAUAACUCCCUUAGUAGCCCACGUGAUCUAGCAGCUUAACUGAGUGGCAUAAUUCAAAAGUUGAAUAGACUAUGAAAAUCUAAAUGAGACUAGUACAGUGGCGAGUUAGCUUGGCCACGUAAAAAAGUUGUGUUUACUAAUGCUUAGAUAUAUUCUGGUGUGAUAGUACAUAUCUAUAUAGAUUUCACUUGUUGCGAACAUAGUUUCUCAAUGAUAUAUAUUACAUAAUUUUAAAGAUCAAAUGGUUUCUUUCGGUAUACCUUUUUACUUCUCAAGAGUAACCUUCACGUCCGGUGUCCUGUAUGUGACACGUACCCAAAACUGCAUGCUUAUAUGAGCUAGAACAAAUCAGUGUUCAUGUCCAAAAACAUUAUUGCAACGUACGAACACGUGUACCAUAAAUAUAAAUACAAAAAACAAAGUAAAAAAAGGAUAACAAUAUAGACCUUCGAACCAUUAUCGUACUAGCAAAUAUACCUGU
This 690-nucleotide long non-coding RNA is filed under the name Sorghum bicolor (sorghum). Its description in RNAcentral is "long non-coding RNA (SBIC_LNC005495)". Lineage: Eukaryota; Viridiplantae; Streptophyta; Magnoliopsida; Poales; Poaceae. The record is from RNAcentral.